Molecule: long non-coding RNA, 693 nt
Organism: Fundulus heteroclitus (mummichog)
Lineage: Eukaryota; Metazoa; Chordata; Actinopteri; Cyprinodontiformes; Fundulidae
Exons: 4
Source: RefSeq, a predicted model, not a curated record
AGAAGAAGACGAAGAAGAAGAAGAAGAAGAAGAAGAAGAAGAAGAAGAAGAAAAAAAAACGUGCUGAGGGCUUGGCUCCUGUGUGUUCAUGUCCUCUUCUGAGCCUGAAGAUGAAAUAAAACCACAACAGCUGGUAAGUGAUCAAUGGCUGGACGACGUCUCGCGUUCAACUCGCCUUCAACUUGCAAGAACAAGCUUUAUUAAAGUGUAUUUUUUGUGAUUCACAGUAAGCAGGACGCCGACUUCACAACUCGGAGACAAAUUGCAGGCGCUAUGAACCGGAGCAAGGACUAAGCACGCCUCACAAUGAGGCGGUGACCUCCUAUUUGCUCUGAGCAAUAUAUGCAAGUCCAGAUUUACACGAUGUUGAUAAAGACGACAUUGUGUCCGCCUGUAAGACGUAUUAUGAGACUGUACGCAGGAGCUGAAGCUGCCAAGAGUUCAGCUCGGAGUCGAGCUAGAAGAAAGAGGCUUCUGGAAUCGAGGCAGAGUGUGCAGGCGGAUGAGGAAGUGGAACUGUGGAAGUCCGCCACCAUCGACCUCAUGUCUGGCGAAGAAGAUGGCGUCGUUGGCGGAGUCUCCGGAUGGAUUGUACGGCCGCCGUCAUUUCGUAGGGUUGUGCGCAAUUCUGUUCCCCCGUGAAAAUCUGUUUCCCCCGUGUCGGGAACGCGCUUUGCAGCCAUUUUCCCGGCG